GAAACAUGUCUAGCUUGCUAGAUGAUGUCGAGUGGCGGACGGGUGAGUAAUGCUUGGGAACUUGCCUUUGCGAGGGGGAUAACAGUUGGAAACGACUGCUAAUACCGCAUAAUGUCUUCGGACCAAACGGGGCUUCGGCUCCGGCGCAAAGAGAGGCCCAAGUGAGAUUAGCUAGUUGGUGAGGUAAAGGCUCACCAAGGCAACGAUCUCUAGCUGUUCUGAGAGGAAGAUCAGCCACACUGGGACUGAGACACGGCCCAGACUCCUACGGGAGGCAGCAGUGGGGAAUAUUGCACAAUGGGGGAAACCCUGAUGCAGCCAUGCCGCGUGUGUGAAGAAGGCCUUCGGGUUGUAAAGCACUUUCAGUUGUGAGGAAAAGUUAGUAGUUAAUACCUGCUAGCCGUGACGUUAACAACAGAAGAAGCACCGGCUAACUCCGUGCCAGCAGCCGCGGUAAUACGGAGGGUGCGAGCGUUAAUCGGAAUUACUGGGCGUAAAGCGCACGCAGGCGGUUUGUUAAGCUAGAUGUGAAAGCCCCGGGCUCAACCUGGGACGGUCAUUUAGAACUGGCAGACUAGAGUCUUGGAGAGGGGAGUGGAAUUCCAGGUGUAGCG
RNAcentral lists this ribosomal RNA (614 nucleotides) under uncultured bacterium. Its description in RNAcentral is "bacterial SSU rRNA". It matches the Rfam family "Bacterial small subunit ribosomal RNA", at positions 69 to 680 of the family's 1533-position model. The record is from RNAcentral.